UUCCAGACUCCUACGGGAGGCAGCAGUGGGGAAUAUUGCACAAUGGGGGAAACCCUGAUGCAGCGACGCCGCGUGAAGGAAGAGGUAUUUCGGUAUGUAAACUUCUAUCAGCAGGGAAGAAAAUGACGGUACCUGACUAAGAAGCCCCGGCUAACUACGUGCCAGCAGCCGCGGUAACACGUAGGGGGCGAGCGUUAUCCGGAAUCAUUGGGCGUAAAGGGUGCGUAGGCGGCCUUUUAAGCGCGGGGUCUAAGGCGGUGGCCCAACCACCGUUCGCCCCGCGAACUGGAGGGCUAGAGUGUCGGAGAGGGAAGCGGAAUUCCUAGUGUAGCGGUGAAAUGCGUAGAUAUUAGGAGGAACACCAGUGGCGAAGGCGGCUUCCUGGACGAAGACUGACGCUGAGGCACGAAAGCGUGGGGAGCGAACAGGAUUAGAUACCCCUGUAUAA
RNAcentral lists this ribosomal RNA (448 nucleotides) under uncultured bacterium. RNAcentral describes it as "bacterial SSU rRNA". It matches the Rfam family "Bacterial small subunit ribosomal RNA", at positions 329 to 793 of the family's 1533-position model. The record is from RNAcentral.